GUAACAUAAUAAUUAUUACACUUUUACAUCAUAUGUUCAAACUUUAUAUAUUAUGUACAGUACAGUCAACAUCGAAUGCGAAAACAUCUACAUAGAGUGUACACAGGGAACAACAGGUUUAAAAAUUUAUAUUAUAUAGAUUUCUAUACUUUGAAUUAUUUAUAUACAAUAGCUAUUUUAUAUAUAGUGUACUUGCAUCUCUAUACAAGGUAUAUAAAAGGUUAUAAUUAGAGCACAAAUAUAUGGUAUAUUCACCUAGUCUUAUAACGAGUUUGCGUAUGUCGACAACGUUGUUGGUUUUGGUUUCGAAUAUCGAAACACAAAGUGUCAAGAUGUACCUGGACCUAAACAUUGGCGUCGAUUCCGAUAUUUUUCUCAAACUAAAUUUAGAGUUACUGUAUCUUUUUCUUUUGAUUAUUGCUAUAAAAGGACGGAAAAUGAAUUUUAAAUUAAAGACUCUAAAUUUUAGUGCUAUUCUACAAAACGUACAAUGCUCAUAUCAAGACUGACACCUAAAGACACGAGGUUUGACAGUUUUAAAUUAAAUUUUGUUUGUCUGUCCUUUUCUAAUUACAUUGGUAAGAAAAAGAUGUGAAUACUCUAAAAUCAGUUGCGAUCAGAAUCAGUACCAUUGUUUUAGAGUCGUUUAUUCAGUAGCUACAACCAAUUUCCAAAAAGGAGGUUUAGGGCGAGCGCUGGUUAUAAAUGUAUGGACGAACUCAACCCUUAAAACAAGGGAGUUUGAGUCCAAUUUUCUUUGAAGAUAUAGUGCAAAGCGACGUGCAAACUCAUCCUAAGCCUCAGGGUAUCAACGAGUGAAAUCUUUACUAGGUAUAACAUUUUUAUACGUAAGUUUGUAUAUGCCUAUGUUAAAGGCCUUGAACACAUUGGCCCAACGCACUUGGCGAAUUAAUUCGGCGAAGCCGUACAACGAACUUGGGGUGAUAUUUUUACCGAGUGAGGCAGCGCUUUCUGACUUUGCCAGACUUUCAUCAAUUACUAACAAGUAACAGACAAUGUUCAAACAUUGGCCGACACUUGCCAAACGCAUUGGACUAAUGAGCAUCUAAUGGAGCCUUAGUGGCAAAGUUCGCAUAGUGGUUAAAGCCGUCUCAGUUCUAGUGGAAUUCACUUUGCAUACAUAGAAAGAGAUAACGGUUUCAUACAGCAUUGUCUCUGUCGUUGAGACAGACCAAACGUCACACAGGUAUGAGUGAUAGAGACGACGCUCUACGAAGCAGAAAUCUCUGUCUAAAGAUCGAUGUGCAAUAUUUUCUGCUGGCAGCUAUAGCUACAACAAAGUUCUCAAGUAGGUAUCGGGCAAAAUGCCCGGUUUUAUUUGUAGGUUCACAUUAAUUAUCAAUACAUUUUAGUUAGUGAUGAAACGUGGAAAUUAAGAUCGAUAAUUUAAUCCGAUUUAUAUUUGCAUUGAGUAAAUUGGCAGAUCAAUAUGGCUAUGUAACAACAAAUAUUAUUGAAACGAUGGAAACACACGAUGAAUGUCAUCAUUACUAAAUAAUUAUAAACUUUUACAGGGCAUGGUAUAGCAUGAAUUACAAUUCAUGAUAUACCGUGCCUUGUCAAUGUAUUAAAAACAAGACGAUGUCUGCGUGGAUUUAUGCGUUUGUGAGGACUCCUUGAUUUUUCGGGAUAAAUAUUAAUAAUAUCAUCAAAUUUAGAUAAACCAAACCUAAAGGUAACAGACAGACAAGCAAUUUUGCAUUUACAUAGUAAUUUGCAAGUAUAACAUAUACUUGCAAAUUACUAAGGGGCCGGGUCGGCUCAUAAACGGCGAAAAUGAAACCAUGCCUAAAUUAAUACCUAAUAAUAAUUAUUAUCUCACUUUACAUGACGAAUAAACCGAUACCAUUGCAUAAGUCGAGUCGCUAUCUGAAAUAAUUAUUUACUUUCGUUGAUAAGCGGGAUUAACAAUUAAAUAUUAUCAAUAGUAGGUAAUAUUUUUCCAUUCGUAAGAUAUACGCAGACUUGUUUCAUAUUAUAUACAUAUUUUGAACCUUAACAUUUAAACAGAUAAAGUAGGUGCCUAUGCUAUGUAUUCGUGACAAGAAACGUAGCUCCACUUAAAAAUCUGACAGAAAAAAAAUAUACGAAAGUGCUUAAAGAUUGCAUUGGAAAACUAAUCUUAUACCGAAAACAUUAAAGUGUAAAUCGCCUAAAUGACAAAUAUACAUUUCCUACUGAGAAGCCUCCAGUUCACGUUGGCCCAUCGUAUUCGUCGAGAGUUGGCCAACGUAUGAGGACCAAAUCCAAUUUUUUGGCGAUAACUCUUAAAAACAUUUUUUGCAGCUAACAACUUUUUAGUUAGAAUAGCAGCAAGUGCUACACACUUUUUAGCCGAAUACGUUCUCCGAAAUGAUGGGCCAACGUAUGCAAGGGACACAAGGAACACUCACCAAGCAUCUAAAAAUCUUACAAAACUUUACAACUUAUUUCUCCUCGAAAUAUUAUAACUUAAUUUAAAUAAUAAGUUGUUAUUUUAUAUAAAAAUAGGAAUGUAAGUAUAAUAUUGCAUUCGAACAUUAAAAAAUAUUCCUUAAUUUGCACCUUUUUAAAAAUAAACUGUACCGACAGAAUGCUUCUAUCAAACCUAUUUGCCAUUCCACAAUAUUUCGAUAAAACUAUUACAAGAACCUAAGUUAACUACUAAAACUAAUAGAAACAUGAAAAUUAAUCCAAAGAAUAGUUAAAAUCCGGCCCAUACUUAAAAUAAACAAUACAACAAUAGGGCUUUUUUAACUAAUAAAAUUGUAAGUCCGCCAUUACACCUGAAAGUUUUACUCCCGUAAGUACCUUACGUAAUUAAUUUUUAACAAAUUUACUAAGGUAAACGAGUGUUUAAAUGUGUCGUGAGUUAAUUAUGUAAGCUACUAACGUUAGUAAAACUUACAGCUGUAAUUGCGGGCUAAGGGCAAAACUAUUAAUAUUAAAAUGCGACUAGUCAACGUGUCAACGCGACUCUCACAAAACCCCCAAUACCUUCCCUAUAUUGUGCCAUAGACACAAAAAUCCCAUAGAUAUACCCACGUCCGUCCGUCCAAAACUAUUGACAAUACCCAUCCAGCACGGCGUAGUGUGAAUCAUCCCUAAUCCCUGUACCCAACACAAUCUACUUUGGACCCAUAGAAGUGAAAAUUUACUACAAGAUUAAAGACAUCUAAAAGGUCUAAAAAUUCUAAGAAAUGACGAUGUUGGACUAACAUCCACAGCUACAAAUUAACCUCAUGAUUAUAGAUAAUAUC
This is a long non-coding RNA of Maniola jurtina (meadow brown), 3260 nucleotides long. RefSeq lists it as uncharacterized. The transcript has 3 exons. The record is from RefSeq and is a predicted model, not a curated record. NCBI's taxonomy places the organism in Eukaryota, Metazoa, Arthropoda, Insecta, Lepidoptera, Nymphalidae.